Molecule: non-coding RNA, 229 nt
Filed under: Microgenomates group
Lineage: Bacteria
Description: GlcN6P sequence
Rfam family: glmS glucosamine-6-phosphate activated ribozyme aptamer
About the family: This entry contains a glucosamine-6-phosphate activated ribozyme that is found in the mRNA for GlmS. GlmS is an enzyme that uses fructose-6-phosphate and glutamine to generate glucosamine-6-phosphate.
Source: RNAcentral
CUGUUAAAAAAAGCGUGUGACCAUCCUUAGCCUUGGCGACGGAUGGAGACGAGGAGGAGGGGUCUCGAUCGCAAGAUCGGACAAUCGGACUCAAUUUUGCCAGUAGGGGAGUACCUGUACUGAGCGAAGUCGAAGUAUCUACGGAAACCCUCUGGGUGGAUCGGUCAUCCAAAACAUAAAGUUUAAAUCUGUUAGCAAUAACAGUCCAAAGACUUUAUUACAUCGAUAA